Molecule: ribosomal RNA, 246 nt
Filed under: uncultured bacterium
Lineage: Bacteria
Description: partial small subunit ribosomal RNA
Rfam family: Bacterial small subunit ribosomal RNA
Source: RNAcentral
AGAAUCAACGCUGGCGGCGUGCCUAACACAUGCAAGUCGAACGAGAAAGUGGUAGCAAUACCAUGAGUAAAGUGGCGCACGGGUGAGUAACACGUGACUAACCUACCCUGGAGUGGGGGAUAACUGAGGGAAACCUUAGCUAAUACCGCAUAACACCUACGGGUCAAAGGAGCAAUUCGCUUCAGGAGGGGGUCGCGGCAGAUUAGCUAGUUGGCGGGGUAAUGGCCCACAAGGCAGUGAUCUGUA